UUUGUGGUUUCAAAAACAACUUCGAAACUAUUUUUUUCCCUUCAACAAUAGCCAUUAUUCUGCGGUGAUUGACUUUAUGACAGUGUGCCUCGGCAUUCAUUUUGCUUGAGCUCAGACCUCCAAGUAAAUAUUUUAAGGUAGCGUUGUGUGAUUUGCAUUGGUUGAGAUCUGGAACCGUACAAUUUCACAGCUGUGAAUGUGUUUUCUCCUCUCUGCACUGCACAGCUUGCUGGCAUCCUGACUGCCUCAGAGAGGCACCUUCAUCACCUCUGAGAUGGCAUCUGACAUUUCCUCCAGCCAGUUACAUGCAGGUGCCCUGUGCAUCAAGAAAGAUUGAAGGAGCACCUGGGUGGCUCAGUCAGUUAAACAUCUGCCUUUGGCUCUGGUCAUGAUCCCAGGUCCUGGAAUGGAGCCCUGCUUUGGGCUCCCUGCUCAGCAAGGAGCCUACAUCUCCC
Molecule: long non-coding RNA, 455 nt
Organism: Vulpes vulpes (red fox)
Lineage: Eukaryota; Metazoa; Chordata; Mammalia; Carnivora; Canidae
Source: Ensembl